RNAcentral lists this ribosomal RNA (445 nucleotides) under uncultured bacterium. Its description in RNAcentral is "partial 16S ribosomal RNA". It matches the Rfam family "Bacterial small subunit ribosomal RNA", at positions 354 to 796 of the family's 1533-position model. The record is from RNAcentral.
GUGAGGAAUAUUGGACAAUGGGCGCAAGCCUGAUCCAGCCAUGCCGCGUGCAGGAAGACGCAUCUAUGGUGUGUAAACUGCUUUUGUACGGGAAGAAACACUCCCUCGUGAGGGAGCUUGACGGUACCGUAAGAAUAAGGAUCGGCUAACUCCGUGCCAGCAGCCGCGGUAAUACGGAGGAUCCAAGCGUUAUCCGGAAUCAUUGGGUUUAAAGGGUCCGUAGGCGGGUUAAUAAGUCAGUGGUGAAAGCCCAUCGCUCAACGAUGGAACGGCCAUUGAUUCUGUUAGACUUGAAUUACAAGGAAGUAACUAGAAUAUGUAGUGUAGCGGUGAAAUGCUUAGAUAUUACAUGGAAUACCAAUUGCGAAGGCAGGUUACUACUUGUGGAUUGACGCUGAUGGACGAAAGCGUGGGGAGCGAACAGGAUUAGAUACCCGGGUAGUCC